RNAcentral lists this ribosomal RNA (253 nucleotides) under uncultured bacterium. Its description in RNAcentral is "partial 16S ribosomal RNA". It matches the Rfam family "Bacterial small subunit ribosomal RNA", at positions 524 to 776 of the family's 1533-position model. The record is from RNAcentral.
UACGUAGGGUGCGAGCGUUGUCCGGAAUCAUUGGGUUUAAAGGGUCCGUAGGCGGUUUAGUAAGUCAGUGGUGAAAGCCCAUCGCUCAACGGUGGAACGGCCAUUGAUACUGCUAGACUUGAAUUAUUAGGAAGUAACUAGAAUAUGUAGUGUAGCGGUGAAAUGCUUAGAGAUUACAUGGAAUACCAAUUGCGAAGGCAGGUUACUACUAAUGGAUUGACGCUGAUGCUCGAAAGCGUGGGGAGCAAACAGG